RNAcentral lists this transfer RNA (93 nucleotides) under Thermoproteota archaeon. RNAcentral's name for it is "tRNA-Met". Lineage: Archaea; Thermoproteati; Thermoproteota. RNAcentral also lists the same sequence under 1 other name. The record is from RNAcentral.
AGCGGGGUGGAGUAGCUAGAAAGUUAAAUUGGCUAAGACUAACUCGCGAGGCUCAUAACCUCGAGAUCCCUGGUUCAAAUCCAGGCCCCGCUA